This 494-nucleotide ribosomal RNA is filed under the name uncultured bacterium. Its description in RNAcentral is "partial 16S ribosomal RNA". It matches the Rfam family "Bacterial small subunit ribosomal RNA", at positions 28 to 507 of the family's 1533-position model. The record is from RNAcentral.
GACGAACGCUGGCGGCGUGCUUAACACAUGCAAGUCGAACGGAAAGGCCUGCUUUCCCUUGUGGAUUGCGGGUACUCGAGUGGCGAACGGGUGAGUAACACGUGAGUGAUCUGCCCCCAACUUGGGUAUAAGCCUGGGAAACUGGGUCUAAUUCCCGAUAGGACUGCAGGGUGGUGCCUGUGGUGGAAAACGAUUUUCUAGUGGUUGGGGAUGAGCUCGCGGCCUAUCAGCUUGUUGGUGGGGUAAUGGCCUACCAAGGCGGCGACGGGUAGCCGGCCCGAGAGGGUGGACGGCCACAUUGGGACUGAGAUACGGCCCAGACUCCUACGGGAGGCAGCAGUGGGGAAUCUUGCACAAUGGGCGGAAGCCUGAUGCAGCGACGCCGCGUGGGGGAUGACGGCCUUCGGGUUGUAAACUCCUUUCGACCGCGAGGAAGCCACCUGGUUGGAAGGGUGGUGACGGUAGUGGUAGAAGAAGCACCGGCUAACUACGUG